ACCAUGAAGAAAGCCUAUCAGAGGCUAUUGGUGAAAGUGCAGCCCAAUUAUGGUGGCAGACCCCUACAUUUUGGAGAUGCCAGUGCCAUGGGAUGACCACCAAGAACAGCAUCAGCAGUGUAGGGGAGCUUGUCAGAGCUUAAAAGACAAAUUGUGUGUUAUGCAGAGGUCAGAGCUGGAGAAGUGACCUAAGUCCCUUUGGAGGAGCCCAGAAGAUCAUGAGUGGAUCCCAGACACUGGACAUUGUGCUAUUUACACUGUUGAAGGUUUAAUUUUGCUUUGAUCUGAUUGUGACUGCGCCCUGGUUCUUCCUUCUUGAAACCUGAUUACUGAGUGAAUUCCUGUGAGAGCCCAGCGUGAGUACAGAGGCUGUGGAAACACCCCAUGGUAUGUAUAAUGUUCCAGGCUACAACUUCCUCUUAAAGGGAUCCAGGAAAAGGCCACGUGUUGCCAAGGGG
Molecule: non-coding RNA, 458 nt
Organism: Peromyscus maniculatus bairdii (prairie deer mouse)
Lineage: Eukaryota; Metazoa; Chordata; Mammalia; Rodentia; Cricetidae
Source: RefSeq, a predicted model, not a curated record